This 774-nucleotide ribosomal RNA is filed under the name uncultured Neocallimastigales. RNAcentral describes it as "partial large subunit ribosomal RNA". It matches the Rfam family "Eukaryotic large subunit ribosomal RNA", at positions 22 to 645 of the family's 3401-position model. Lineage: Eukaryota; Fungi; Neocallimastigomycota; Neocallimastigomycetes; Neocallimastigales. The record is from RNAcentral.
GUACACGCUGUGACUAGCAUAUCAAUAAGCGGAGGAAAAGAAACUAACAAGGAUUCCCUUAGUAACGGCGAGUGAAGCGGGAAGAGCUCAAAUUUGAAAUCUUCAAGGUUUUACCUUGACGAAAUGUAGUUUAAAGAAGUGUUUUCUGUUGAAGUUUUGGUAAAAGUUCUUUGGAAUAGGACAUCAUAGAGGGUGAGAAUCCCGUAUUUGACCAUUAUUUUCAGCUUUGUGAUACACUUUCAAAGAGCCGGAUUGUUUGGGAAUGCAGUCCAAAAUGGGUGGUAAAUUUCAUCUAAAGCUAAAUAUUGGCGAGAGACCGAUAGCGAACAAGUACCGUGAGGGAAAGAUGAAAAGAACUUUGAAAAGAGAGUUAAACAGUACGUGAAAUUGUCAAAAGGGAAGCGUUUAACACCAGUGUUGUUUUCUGAAAAUCAACCUCUGUUAGCUUUAUGCAUGUUUGUUUAGACCUAAUCAGCUAUCUUGCAUGUUCUAUUGUUUGCAGUGGUGCACUUUUCAGUUUACAGGUCAACAUCAGUUUUUUUUACCGUAAAAAAGUUAAAGAAAGGUAGCUCAUGGCUCCGGUCGUGAGUGUUAUAGUCUUUUUCCUAUGCGGUAGGAGAGACUGAGGUCUGCAGUGUAGGCUAUUUGGCUAGAUACUCAGGUGCUAUGUGAUACCAUUUCAUAAACAACUUGUUGACUAUGUUUUAGUCUAUUAGCAUUACUCGCUUAUGCUAUUAUACCUACGCUUAGGAUGUUGACGCAUGAGAUAUACGC